GACGAACGCUGGCGGCGUGCUUAACACAUGCAAGUCGAGCGGUAAGGCCCUUUCGGGGGUACACGAGCGGCGAACGGGUGAGUAACACGUGGGUGACCUGCCCUCAGCUCUGGGAUAAGCCUGGGAAACCGGGUCUAAUACUGGAUAUGACUCCAUGACGCAUGUUGUGGGGUGGAAAGCCUUGUGCGGCUGAGGAUGGGCCCGCGGCCUAUCAGCUUGUUGGUGGGGUGANGGCCUACCAAGGCGACGACGGGUAGCCGGCCUGAGAGGGCGACCGGCCACACUGGGACUGAGACACGGCCCAGACUCCUACGGGAGGCAGCAGUGGGGAAUCUUGCG
RNAcentral lists this ribosomal RNA (339 nucleotides) under uncultured bacterium. RNAcentral describes it as "bacterial SSU rRNA". It matches the Rfam family "Bacterial small subunit ribosomal RNA", at positions 28 to 368 of the family's 1533-position model. The record is from RNAcentral.